UAGGGAAUCUUCCACAAUGGACGCAAGUCUGAUGGAGCAACGCCGCGUGAGUGAAGAAGGUUUUCGGAUCGUAAAGCUCUGUUGUUGGUGAAGAAGGAUAGAGGUAGUAACUGCCCUUUAUUUGACGGUAAUCAACCAGAAAGUCACGGCUAACUACGUGCCAGCAGCCGCGGUAAUACGUAGGUGGCAAGCGUUGUCCGGAUUUAUUGGGCGUAAAGCGAGCGCAGGCGGAAGAAUAAGUCUGAUGUGAAAGCCCUCGGCUUAACCGAGGAACUGCAUCGGAAACUGUUUUUCUUGAGUGCAGAAGAGGAGAGUGGAACUCCAUGUGUAGCGGUGGAAUGCGUAGAUAUAUGGAAGAACACCAGUGGCGAAGGCGACUCUCUGGUCUGCAACUGACGCUGAGGCUCGAAAGCAUGGGUAGCGAACAGG
RNAcentral lists this ribosomal RNA (429 nucleotides) under Acidobacteriota bacterium. Its description in RNAcentral is "Acidobacteria bacterium partial 16S ribosomal RNA". It matches the Rfam family "Bacterial small subunit ribosomal RNA", at positions 355 to 776 of the family's 1533-position model. The record is from RNAcentral. Lineage: Bacteria; Pseudomonadati; Acidobacteriota.